CCUACGGGGGGCUGCAGUGGGGAAUAUUGGACAAUGGGGGGAACCCUGAUCCAGCCAUGCCGCGUGUGUGAAGAAGGCCCUCGGGUUGUAAAGCACUUUCAGUGAGGAAGAACACCUGGUGGUUAAUACCCAUCAGGAAAGACAUCACUCACAGAAGAAGCACCGGCUAACUCCGUGCCAGCAGCCGCGGUAAUACGGAGGGUGCGAGCGUUAAGCGGAAUUACUGGGCGUAAAGCGCGCGUAGGUGGCUUGAUAAGCCGGUUGUGAAAGCCCCGGGCUCAACCUGGGAACGGCAUCCGGAACUGUCAAGCUAGAGUGCAGGAGAGGAAGGUAGAAUUCCCGGUGUAGCGGUGAAAUGCGUAGAGAUCGGGAGGAAUACCAGUGGCGAAGGCGGCCUUCUGGACUGACACUGACACUGAGGUGCGAAAGCGUGGGUAGCAAACAGGAUUAGAUACCCGGGUAGUC
RNAcentral lists this ribosomal RNA (465 nucleotides) under Vreelandella stevensii. RNAcentral's name for it is "partial 16S ribosomal RNA". It matches the Rfam family "Bacterial small subunit ribosomal RNA", at positions 338 to 795 of the family's 1533-position model. The record is from RNAcentral. Lineage: Bacteria; Pseudomonadati; Pseudomonadota; Gammaproteobacteria; Oceanospirillales; Halomonadaceae.